UGGUAUUUUUUGAUUUUAUACGAAUUUUUGUUCUUAGCUAUGCGGCUAUUGGUACAUCGACCCUAUUAUUGUCUGCACUUCUGCACAGAUGUGGAUUAUUUUUUCCAUGCACAUUUAAGGCUCGUUUGGGCAUUUCAUUAGCCUUUAUCGAUUUUGAGCGAAUUUAAACUAUAGCUUUUGAGGGUUCAAUACAAUAAAUCAAGGAUGUUUCAGAUAUUAUAAGUUUAGAAAUUUAUACACUCAAUGGGCCAUUAGUAGCUCAACAUGGCCCGUCUUUCACUACGAGAAUUGCUUCUUAAAAGCUGAUCAUAUGUGUUGGCCUACCCCAUUAGGCCAGCGCGUUAGUCUAUAACCGUAAUCUCUAUAUUGUCCGCAACCUUGCGAGCAAGUCCACAGCUUGGUAGUAUGGAUGAGGAGUGACAGGUACGCGCCCUGUCACCAGGUGAGUCGACAGAUCAGGCAGAAAAACAAACCAUUGUACAAUACAAGUUAAAAGGCGUGGACUUGAUUCUUAGUUAAAGCAGAUUAAACACUAGUGAAAAUAACUUAAAAUUGAACUUAAAACUAGUGAAACAAAGGAGUUAUAUUAAAGUUAUACUUACUAACUAGGUAACCUACAUUACUACGAGCUACAUCUAAACGAACAUUAACAGUGCAGUGCCCAUAACGAUUGUGCUGAGGUCACUAUAUACCCUCGAAAGUUGCCUACAUCAAAGCGCAAAUUACGGAAUUCGAACUCAUAAGACUGAAAGGUUAGGAAAAUAGACAUUUGACCGACAUCAGACUGACAUUUGAGCAGGAAAGGGAACUAAACGUAAGUAAAAUUACUGAAAAACUUAUUUUCCUAAAACACAAACAUAAAAAUUUGAACCCUCUGAAAUGGGAUACAGAGGUUCACCUAACGCACUCCACGUAGCACACAACCAAUAUGAAUUAU
This is a long non-coding RNA of Aedes aegypti (yellow fever mosquito), 937 nucleotides long. RefSeq lists it as uncharacterized. NCBI's taxonomy places the organism in Eukaryota, Metazoa, Arthropoda, Insecta, Diptera, Culicidae. The record is from RefSeq and is a predicted model, not a curated record. The transcript is spliced from 2 exons.